This 443-nucleotide ribosomal RNA is filed under the name uncultured bacterium. RNAcentral describes it as "partial 16S ribosomal RNA". It matches the Rfam family "Bacterial small subunit ribosomal RNA", at positions 338 to 795 of the family's 1533-position model. The record is from RNAcentral.
CCUACGGGAGGCAGCAGUGGGGAAUAUUGGGCAAUGGAGGAAACUCUGACCCAGCAACGCCGCGUGAAUGAUGAAGGUCUUCGGAUUGUAAAGUUCUUUUCUAAGGGAAGAAGAAAGUGACGGUACCUUAGGAAUAAGCCUCGGCUAACUACGUGCCAGCAGCCGCGGUAAUACGUAGGAGGCGAGCGUUAUCCGGAAUGACUGGGCGUAAAGGGGGCGUAGGUGGUUUGGCAAGUUAGUAGCGUAACUCCAAGGCUCAACCUUGGAACUACUACUAAAACUGUUGGGCUUGAGUGCAGGAGGGGCAACCGGAAUUCCUAGUGUAGCGGUGGAAUGCGUAGAUAUUAGGAGGAACACCAGUGGCGAAGGCGGGUUGCUAGACUGUAACCGACACUGAGGCACGAAAGCGUGGGGAGCAAACAGGAUUAGAUACCCCUGUAGUC